Haliotis rubra (blacklip abalone) is the source of this 567-nucleotide long non-coding RNA. RefSeq lists it as uncharacterized. NCBI's taxonomy places the organism in Eukaryota, Metazoa, Mollusca, Gastropoda, Lepetellida, Haliotidae. The record is from RefSeq and is a predicted model, not a curated record. The transcript has 3 exons.
UCAAAUAUUUGGCUCCGGGGUUUUCAAUGCUGAUGCAAAUUCUGGAACUGAACUCUUACCGGAGAGCCCAAGACUACUGCCAGGAACCAGACAAGAGAUGUGUGAUGAGAACAUACUUGAGAGCAAGAUACCCGUACAUGGAUUAUAAGACGUACAGCAUGCAUCUGUCGGGGAUGUCAGAAAAUUACAUAAAACUGAUUUCCAUUCUUCAAAGUCAGCUCCCCGCCAAGUUCGAGGAUCUAACACCCCGGCCUUCCACCCAUUCUUGUGACAGUUGUGGCAGGACAUCAGCAGAGUGCAAGAAAUGCACAGGAUGUCGCCUUGUGUUCUACUGUGACCGGGUAUGUCAGAGGAAGGCAUGGCCUGUGCACAAACAUAUCUGCAGGCGUACUUGAAGUCAUUAGGACAAAUAUGAAACGGCCUAUAGAGCUAUAGGGAUUAUGUGUGAGUUGCCACACUCAGCAAUAUUCCAGCUAUAUAUUGCGGCGGCCUGUAGAUAAUCGAGCCUGGACCAGACAAUCCAGGGAUCUACGCAAUUGGUAUACGAUGACAUGUGUCAACCCAGUC